UACAUAGGGGGCGAGCGUUAUCCGGAAUUAUUGGGCGUAAAGCGUGCGUAGGCGGUUUACUAAGUCUGAUGUGAAAUAUCACAGCUUAACUGUGAAGGGUCAUUGGAAACUGGUAAACUUGAGUACAGUAGGGGUAAGUGGAAUUCCAAGUGGAGCGGUGGAAUGCGUAGAUAUUUGGAGGAACACCAGUGGCGAAGGCGGCUUACUGGGCUGGAACUGACGCUAAGGCACGAAAGCGUGGGGAGCAAACAGG
This 253-nucleotide ribosomal RNA is filed under the name uncultured bacterium. RNAcentral's name for it is "partial 16S ribosomal RNA". It matches the Rfam family "Bacterial small subunit ribosomal RNA", at positions 524 to 776 of the family's 1533-position model. The record is from RNAcentral.